GGGGAAUCUUGCACAAUGGGGGCAACCCUGAUGCAGCGACGCCGCGUGAGCGAUGAAGCCCUUCGGGGCGUAAAGCUCUUUCGACCGGAACGAUAAUGACGGUACCGGGAGAAGAAGCUGCGGCUAACUACGUGCCAGCAGCCGCGGUAAUACGUAGGCAGCAAGCGGUGUUCGGAGUUACUGGGCGUAAAGAGUGCGUAGGCGGUUUUCUAAGUUCGGUGUGAAAUCUCCCGGCUUAACUGGGAGGGUGCGCCGAAGACUGGGAAGCUGGAGUGUGGGAAAGGCAGGCGGAAUUCCUGGUGUAGCGGUGAAAUGCGUAGAUAUCAGGAGGAACACCGGCGGUGUAGACGGCUUGCUAGACCAUAACUGACGCUGAGGCACGAAAGCGUGGGUAGCAAACA
This 401-nucleotide ribosomal RNA is filed under the name uncultured bacterium. Its description in RNAcentral is "bacterial SSU rRNA". It matches the Rfam family "Bacterial small subunit ribosomal RNA", at positions 356 to 774 of the family's 1533-position model. The record is from RNAcentral.